AUGCAUGAAGUUAACUUGAGAGAGUGGAGGGAUGACAGGAAGGCCUAGGGUUCCUCAGCUUUAGACUCCAUUUGGAUGACAACAUGAAAUCAUGCCUGAUUUACAAGAUGUCUACAAUUUCAACCGAACAAUAAAUACAAGUUGAGAGUGGAAAGUGUCAUUGGGCAAGAUAAAUGAGCCAGAAGACAUGAUUGUUCAUGAGAAGAGUAAAACAAAAUUUUUGUUCAAAGUAACUUAAAUCAACAUUGCUGCAGUAUAAAUGCUGCUGUUGAAUGACUCCCCAUGGGCUUCACCUAACAUUCCGUCUAUGUUCAUUUGGCUGUGCAGACUGUGAUUCCAGCACACCAAAGCUUUUAAGCUCUUUCUUUCCAAGAAAACUCAUAGCUAACACCAUUAUUUCCUCACAAAAACAGCUAACAUCUGCAGACUGAAACACCAAAACAAAGAAAAAAAUGUGCACACUUCUGCUAAACUUGGAUGCAAACUUUAUCAGCCAUCUUAGACAAUAAAUCAAUGUU
Molecule: long non-coding RNA, 518 nt
Organism: Symphalangus syndactylus (siamang)
Lineage: Eukaryota; Metazoa; Chordata; Mammalia; Primates; Hylobatidae
Source: RefSeq, a predicted model, not a curated record